Molecule: ribosomal RNA, 223 nt
Filed under: uncultured bacterium
Lineage: Bacteria
Description: partial 16S ribosomal RNA
Rfam family: Bacterial small subunit ribosomal RNA
Source: RNAcentral
CGACGUGAGGAGCCUGCCUCAAAGAGGGGGACAACAGUUGGAAACGACUGCUAAUACCGCAUAAGCCCACAGCUCGGCAUCGAGCAGAGGGAAAAGGAGUGAUCCGCUUUGAGAUGGCCUCGCGUCCGAUUAGCUAGUUGGUGAGGUAAUGGCCCACCAAGGCGACGAUCGGUAGCCGGACUGAGAGGUUGAACGGCCACAUUGGGACUGAGACACGGCCCAG